AUACGUAGGGGGCGAGCGUUGUCCGGAAUGAUUGGGCGUAAAGGGCGCGUAGGCGGCCCGGUAAGUCUGGAGUGAAAGUCCUGUUUUUAAGAUGGGAAUUGCUUUGGAUACUGUCGGGCUUGAGUGCAGGAGAGGUAAGUGGAAUUCCCAGUGUAGCGGUGAAAUGCGUAGAGAUUGGGAGGAACACCAGUGGCGAAGGCGACUUACUGGACUGUAACUGACGCUGAGGCGCGAAAGUGUGGGGAGCAAACAGGAUUAGAUACCCUGGUAGUCCACACUGUAAACGAUGAAUGCUAGGUGUAGGGGGUAUCGACCCCUUCUGUGCCGCAGUCAACACAAUAAGCAUGCCGCCUGGGGAGUACGGCCGCAAGGUUGAAACCCAAAGGA
This 387-nucleotide ribosomal RNA is filed under the name uncultured bacterium. RNAcentral's name for it is "partial 16S ribosomal RNA". It matches the Rfam family "Bacterial small subunit ribosomal RNA", at positions 523 to 908 of the family's 1533-position model. The record is from RNAcentral.